UACAGAGGGCGCAAGCGUUAAUCGGAAUUACUGGGCGUAAAGGGUGCGUAGGCGGCUACGUAAGUUAGGUGUGAAAGUCCUGGGCUUAACCUGGGGACUGCGCCUGAUACUGCGUAGCUAGAGUAUUGUAGAGGGAAGUGGAAUUUCCGGUGUAGCGGUGAAAUGCGUAGAUAUCGGAAGGAACAUCGGUGGCGAAGGCGACUUCCUGGACAAAGACUGACGCUGAGGCACGAAAGCAUGGGUAGCAAACGGG
RNAcentral lists this ribosomal RNA (253 nucleotides) under uncultured bacterium. Its description in RNAcentral is "partial 16S ribosomal RNA". It matches the Rfam family "Bacterial small subunit ribosomal RNA", at positions 524 to 776 of the family's 1533-position model. The record is from RNAcentral.